GACGAACGCUGGCGGCGUGCCUAAUACAUGCAAGUAGAACGCACAGUUUAUACCGUAGCUUGCUACACCAUAAACUGUGAGUUGCGAACGGGUGAGUAACGCGUAGGUAACCUGCCUGGUAGCGGGUGAUAACUAUUGUAAACGAUAGCUAAUACCGCAUAAUAUUAAUUAUUGCAUGAUAAUUGAUUGAAAGAUGCAAUUGCAUCACUACCAGAUGGACCUGCGUUGUAUUAGCUAGUAGGUGAGGUAACGGCUCACCUAGGCGACGAUACAUAGCCGACCUGAGAGGGUGAUAGGCCACACUGGGACUGAGACACGGCCCAGACUCCUACGGGAGGAAGCAGUAGGGAAUCUUAGGCAAUGGACGAAAGUCUGACCGAGCAACGCCGCGUGAGUGAAGAAGGUUUUCGGAUCGUAAAGCUCUGUUGUAAGAGAAGAACGGGUGUGAGAGUGGAAAGUUCACACUGUGACGGUAUCUUACCAGAAAGGGACGGCUAACUACGUG
This 505-nucleotide ribosomal RNA is filed under the name uncultured bacterium. RNAcentral describes it as "partial 16S ribosomal RNA". It matches the Rfam family "Bacterial small subunit ribosomal RNA", at positions 28 to 507 of the family's 1533-position model. The record is from RNAcentral.